This 292-nucleotide ribosomal RNA is filed under the name uncultured bacterium. Its description in RNAcentral is "partial 16S ribosomal RNA". It matches the Rfam family "Bacterial small subunit ribosomal RNA", at positions 505 to 796 of the family's 1533-position model. The record is from RNAcentral.
GUGCCAGCAGCCGCGGUAAGACAGAGGCCUCAAGCGUUAGGCGGAAUCACUGGGCUUAAAGCGUGUGUAGGCGGACUUCUAAGUACCUUGUGAAAUCCCACCGCUCACCGGUGGAACUGCUGGGUAUACUGGUCGUCUUGAGCCACUUAGGGGCUACCGGAACAAAUGGUGGAGCGGUGAAAUGCGUAGAUAUCGCUUGGAACGCCGAAGGUGAAAACAGGUCGCUGGGGUUGUGCCGACGCUGAGACACGAAAGCCAGGGGAGCAAACGGGAUUAGAUACCCCGGUAGUCC